CGUUGGUGAACCAGCGGAGGGAUCAUUACCGAGUUUACAACUCCCAAACCCCUGUGAACAUACCAAUUGUUGCCUCGGCGGAUCAGCCCGCUCCCGGUAAAACGGGACGGCCCGCCAGAGGACCCCUAAACUCUGUUUCUAUAUGUAACUUCUGAGUAAAACCAUAAAUAAAUCAAAACUUUCAACAACGGAUCUCUUGGUUCUGGCAUCGAUGAAGAACGCAGCAAAAUGCGAUAAGUAAUGUGAAUUGCAGAAUUCAGUGAAUCAUCGAAUCUUUGAACGCACAUUGCGCCCGCCAGUAUUCUGGCGGGCAUGCCUGUUCGAGCGUCAUUUCAACCCUCAAGCCCAGCUUGGUGUUGGGACUCGCGAGUUAAAUCGCGUUCCCCAAAUUGAUUGGCGGUCACGUCGAGCUUCCAUAGCGUAGUAGUAAAACCCUCGUUACUGGUAAUCGUCGCGGCCACGCCGUUAAACCCCAACUUCUGAAUGUUGACCUCGGAUCAGGUAGGAAUACCCGCUGAACUUAAGCAUAUCA
RNAcentral lists this ribosomal RNA (532 nucleotides) under Fusarium circinatum. RNAcentral describes it as "eukaryotic LSU rRNA". The stretch from base 177 to 330 matches the Rfam family "5.8S ribosomal RNA". Lineage: Eukaryota; Fungi; Ascomycota; Sordariomycetes; Hypocreales; Nectriaceae. The record is from RNAcentral.